Molecule: ribosomal RNA, 252 nt
Filed under: uncultured bacterium
Lineage: Bacteria
Description: partial 16S ribosomal RNA
Rfam family: Bacterial small subunit ribosomal RNA
Source: RNAcentral
UACGUAGGUGGCAAGCGUUGUCCGGAAUUAUUGGGCGUAAAGCGCGCGCAGGCGGCUAUGUAAGUCUGAUGUUAAAGCCCGAGGCUCAACCUCGGUCCGCAUUGGAAACUGCGUAGCUUGAGUGCAGAAGAGGAAAGUGGUAUUCCACGUGUAGCGGUGAAAUGCGUAGAGAUGUGGAGGAACACCAGUGGCGAAGGCGACUUUCUGGUCUGUAACUGACGCUGAGGCGCGAAAGCUAGGGUAGCAAACGGG